GAUCCGAACAGUCUCCAAAAGUUUCUUGUCACGAUGGAACGUCUGGCAGGUACAAGCACGCGCACACUUACAUAUGUUUUGCGUUUUAAUACUGGAAUCAUUAAAUUCGUCAAAAAAUCGUCACGUAAAACGUAAAUCGAAGGAUGCUCAAAGAUACGAAUAAAAAUAAUAAUAAUAAAAAGAAUCGAACAUAAAUAAAUGGAAUGAAAACUUUUCUCUAUACAAUUGUGAUCGUAAAAAAAUUGUACAUUACAAUCUAUGAUACCUAUGUUAUGUUUCUGACGAAAUAUUUUCACGAUUUUAUUCCUCGUUUCCUCUUCUAUAAUACGAUGUGACAAUUGAUAUCAAACUGAACGCUGUCAGAAACAGGAUAUAUACUUUUAUCUUACAAAAAAAAAAAAAAAAAAAAAAAACAAAACAAAACAAAACAAGAAGAAAAGGAAAAGAAGAAAAAUAAUUCGCGCAAACAAUAUCAACUUUAUUUCGUAUACGGGUACAUGAUAAAAGGAUAAAACGAACAAACAGUUCCAUGUCGACCGCGUAACACUAAAAAAAGAAAACAAA
Long non-coding RNA from Vespa crabro (European hornet), 564 nucleotides. RefSeq lists it as uncharacterized. The transcript has 2 exons. NCBI's taxonomy places the organism in Eukaryota, Metazoa, Arthropoda, Insecta, Hymenoptera, Vespidae. The record is from RefSeq and is a predicted model, not a curated record.